This 4545-nucleotide long non-coding RNA is filed under the name Gallus gallus (chicken). The record is from RNAcentral. Lineage: Eukaryota; Metazoa; Chordata; Aves; Galliformes; Phasianidae.
GGGGGCUGAUGGUGUGCAGCCUCCAGCCCAGGCUCUGCUCUCUGUAACCCACCAGAACAGCACCCAGAGUGAGGCUGAUGCCUCCCAGCCCAGUACCUCAGGGCUUUUGAGGUGGGGACUGUGGGCUUUUGGUGUGGAGUGGAGCUUAUGCUCCUGGCUGAAGGGGGGCUGGUGGCUGCAGGCUGGUGACCUUGGGCCCCAUGCACUCUGCUCCCCUUGCUUCCAGCCCUCUGAGCGCAGGAGGCCAAGUGCCUGACUUCUGCCUGGCUAUAAUACGCUGCUGGGAGGAUGUGCUCUCUGACCCUGCCCUCACCCUGCAGCCAUGAUCAGCCACCAGCUUCCCCUUCUGCCUUUGGGAGGCCCUACUGAUCCAGGCAGUAACAAAAAAGCAAAAACAGUAGAAACCAACCAUAGGUUGGAAUGAGCUCUUGAGUGUAAAGGGGUGGCCAUCGUCCAAGCAGCAGUCGGUAAGGGCCCCAAAGCAGCCAGCACAGCAAAGUGAUGAAACCCUUUGGUUUUUGGGUUUUGCUUUCGCAACAAUCACUUCCUUUACUGUGCUUGCUUGUGCAAAACAGCACACGCUUAAUGAGAGUGCACACAGGAGCAGUGAGAAAGCUCUUCAAAUACACAGCCAAAGCAAGGAGGGUGGACAGCAGCAUGCAUGCUUGAUGGUGUCCUUGGCAUGGGCGACAUACCGCCCUUCAGGACAUCACCCAGCUGCUGUGUUUGGAAGGGAGAGAGGAGCUGGAGUUGUUAAGUAAGGCUGAUGAUGGAAACAGGUCUCUGGGGGCUGAUGUUGAAGCUUGAGUUCAGGUGCCUGGUGUGGUACUGCUGGGAUUUAUGCCAUGCCAUGGAGCCAUGAUGGCAGGGGAAGGCCAACCACCUCCUGAGAGACCAGAGGCAGCUGGCAGAGGGCCAGGCCCUCACCUCAGAGCAGUGGGAUUUUACACUGCACCCACCCUUUGAGCAGCAUGGGCUUUGCAGAGCUCUAUCUCCUUUCCUUCAGGCAAGCUGUACUGCUGGCUCAUUACCCAGUCAGCAGGUUGUAAUGCAGGGCAGGUGUGAGCAGCAGCCUGGGUGCUGCAGCCACAUGGGUCCUCAGUCAAAGCUCAGUGGCUCUGCUUGUCUCACCUUUAUGCGAAGGUCGGGGUGAUUUGGGAAAAACCAUGAAUGAAAGGAUUGGAAAAUCAUACAAGGAAAUACCUUUCCAAGUGUUACAACAGCUACAGUUGUGGAAGGGCAACAAGAUUGGGAGAUGAAGUUUGGCUUGCUGAAUAACUUCAUGUUCUGAUGAACAAAGCUGAAGGCAAAGUAACAGCCAGCACAGGAGCACAGUGGCAGAGAUGAGGCUUGUGCCCCUCGGGGCUUGCACCGGGGGUCCUAAAAACAGCCACACUCUGACCAACUGAAGCUGGGACCACACCUAACCACAACCAAAGCACCACCUCCUGCCUCAGUCCCCCCAAAGCGCUUUGCACCCACAUCCCUGACCUGAAUGCUUUCACACGGUGGGAAGCACCCUCCUCCCUCCACAUCUGACUUCCUUCCCCCUUUGUCGAGGCUCUUCUCUAACCAAAAAAGGAAAUCCCAGGGAGAAGUCCGCCAGCUUCACCUGGGCAGGAUUGCUCUUCGAAGUCAGCUGCAGCCUGGAGGCGUCGGUUAUCAAUUGACUCCAGAAUGGGAGUUCCCUUUAUUUGUCAGGCAGCACCACUCCCACUGUGUCACUGGUUUUCUUAUCUCAGCCUGAACUUUGGACAGACACCAAGGUACAGAAAAGCUGUUUUUGUGGGGAUGAUUACUGCCUUGUAUGGAAGAGCCGUUUUUAUGGGGACGGUUACUCCCUUGUGCCAGGGUGGAAGCUGAGGAAGGAACCGGCCAGGAGCACCCGCUGAUGCCAGUUUAGUUUCCUUCCCUGAUAGGAUCUCACUGUGGUGGAUCAUAUCAGAAACCCUUGUGCCCUCCACACGGGUACCACGUUAGAGCACGUGAUCAAUGCUUGCCUUUGAUUAAAAGCUUCAAAUACACAGCACAGCCAAAAAAGCAGAGACGCUGCGUUAGGCCAGGGAGCAGUAUUUCCCUGGUAGUGCUCUGCUGAAAAGCAGCAGUCCGAGCAGCUGUCCCUACAUACCUGGCAGAAGGGGCGGCCUUUAACUUCCUGGGGCCGCCUACUGGAAGCUCUCAGUUCUGACAGGAGAAGCAGCACUGAGUAACUGACACAGGCCGCCAAUGUGAGAUGCUUCCCAUGAAGCUCCGUCCCUGUGGCCAUCUGGGCCCAGAGCCCAGAAGGAAGGGAGCAGAUGCCAUUGUGGAACCCAUGACUGCCACAGGCUGCUACGCACUCAGCCGUCGAGGUGUGCAAGGCCAAGGAGGACACCAAGGAGGACAUGAGCGCUCUGCAGAGAAAUGGACAUGCUUUUCUCCCCCCUUUCUCCUUCCAGCCUCUUUUCCCCCCACUGCAAGCUGGAGAGGAAUCAGUCACUGACCCAGGGGAAGGAAACCCCAUUUAUUUAAGCUAUUCAAGUUUGGCACACACAGAACAUAGCACAGUAACGCACUGGAGGCUAAGGGUUUUGUUUUUUUUCUUUUUUUUUUUUUCUCUACAGACAUACAGGAAAACUCUAUGCAACUUCCAUGUACACAUUACACAAAGGAAACAGCUUUAAUCAACCACUGGUGAAACAUGGAAGCUUUUAAGAUCUCUGUAGCUGGCACAGGAAUGUUCUCUACCCCCCCCCCCCCCCCCCCCAUACAAAAGGCAUUUCAGGUCAAACUUUCUAGUAGGUGAUAUUUCCAUGCAUUUCUACAGAAUUAAAGAAGCUAACAGACAAAAAGCCCAGAUCAAGCCAUAUUAGUCAGGCUGAUUGGUUCUACUAAGUUAAAUCAAUAAUAAUUACGGACAAAUGGACCAAGUGACCAAAGAGUGGGGCUGAGAACACCACUUGUGAUCUUUUGCUGUUUUUCCAAGUGGUUCUUUCUCAUGGUACUGCCCAGAACUGGAGAGCUCCAACGGAAGGAUCUACACUUGUCAAAGCCUCAGAAGCGUCUGAUCCGCUACUAAGUGUGUUAGUGGAAAUAAGGUGGUCCUAAGUUAACCUAUGCCAAAAGAAAAGCAAUUUUAAUAGAAUCGUUCAGCCUUGGAGGAGACCUCGAGACACUUCAUAACCAAUGUUAACCUGUAGGAACAAGCAAACCUUUAAAGAUUACUGCACGCUGAGUUUACAAGGAUGAUUAGGACUUUCUCCAGGAAAGCGUACCUACUUUAAUCUCUAUUUUAACCUCCUGAUUAACCCUUAUUAGUAACGCCGGGCAACUGCAAGCACUAAGAAUUUAGCUCUGUUUAGGUGCCUAACUUGAACUACAGGUUUUAAGUCUUGCAUUCAACGGUUCGAGGGGAAAGUUUUGAGUUUGGCAAUUUGGCCAGUAGCCUCAGAAAGACUGAUGAUUUUGCUCAUUUUAAUUUAGAAGAGAACAGGAACCACAUUGUUCUCAUCAACCCCCCCCUUCAUCCCACGAUACACUGCUGAAUCAGAAUUUUUGGAGACCUUUAGUGUUAAUUCAUCGGGGAUAGUACUGGGAUAGACAACCAAUGCAAAUAUUAAUACACCAAGAUAAAUCCUUAAUUUGAUUUAUUUAAGGUCAUUUAUACAUAGGAGCUACAUCUCCAAAAUCUACUUUAUUCUAUAAGACAACUUCCCUACAGUUAGUGAACCCAUUGCCUAGGAUGGUUGCUUUACAUAACUGAUAUAUUAAAACAUGGAAUGCUUGUAGAGUUGUGGCACUGUAUGACAUCUACACAGGACUUCCUUCAAAAGCUACGACUAGGGAGCCUCCUAGCUUCUCAGCAAUACAAGCUCGAUUGAGGUCCUCUGGCCCAUUUGCUUGGCAUUCAUGCUUUAUGCCUUGGAACUUCUUUUUGAUUGCAUCCUUGGAGCUUGCAUAGAUCAUCUUACUUUUGAGAGGUGCUUGUUCUGGUGCCCACAAGAAGAACAUCAGCUCUUCUUUUUUGGAUUCCUUGGUCUCAAAACUUGCAUCAUACAAGGCAUAACGGCAAUCCUUCUCGGGAAGCAUCUGCACAAAGUGCUUGAAAGGGUCAGUAACCGUCACACCAACAUCUCCCACUAGAAUCUCUUUGCCUUCUUCCACGAUAAUGCACUUUUUGUCUGGACUGAGGCAGAAGAUGACAGCCUUCUUCCUCUUCUUCACUUCCUCAGGCGUAGAGCAUUUCCGCACUUUCAUGUCGUAGAAGAUACGGCAUACCUCAUCGGCAACUUGUACUCCAGAUGCCAUGGUGUCGGCGGAGCGGCGGCUGCUGCUUCCCUCGGGUGCUGGGCGCGGCGCGGGCUCCGGCAGCAGGAAGGGAAGCGGCGAGGGCGCGAGCCGAGCGGAAACGCUGCCGACGUCACGGCCGCCGUGCCCGGCGGAGGAAGCGGUUGUUAUGGUGGGACCCUGCGUGGCAACGCCCCGGCCCGCUCCCCUUUCCAGACUCGCGCAUGCGCGCACCCGCAAACACCACCCACACACCGCCCGCACCGGGGGGAGCGCUCC